GAGUUUGAUCGUGGCUCAGGAUGAACGCUGGCGGCGUGCUUAACACAUGCAAGUCGAACGAAGCGCCUUAUUUGAUUUUCUUCGGAACUGAAGAUUUGGUGACUGAGUGGCGGACGGGUGAGUAACGCGUGGGUAACCUGCCCUGUACAGGGGGAGUAACAAUCAGAAAUAGACUGCUAAUACCGCAUAAGACCACAGCACCGCAUGGUGCAGGGGUAAAAACGUACCGGUGGUACAGGAUGGACCCGCGUCUGAUUAGCUGGUUGGUGAGGUAACGGCUCACCAAGGCGACGAUCAGUAGCCGGCUUGAGAGAGUGAACGGCCACAUUGGGACUGAGACACGGCCCAAACUCCUACGGGAGGCAGCAGUGGGGAAGUAUUGCACAAU
RNAcentral lists this ribosomal RNA (388 nucleotides) under uncultured microorganism. RNAcentral describes it as "bacterial SSU rRNA". It matches the Rfam family "Bacterial small subunit ribosomal RNA", at positions 9 to 372 of the family's 1533-position model. The record is from RNAcentral.